This is a transfer RNA of Candida tropicalis MYA-3404, 73 nucleotides long. It matches the Rfam family "tRNA". Rfam says of the family: Transfer RNA (tRNA) molecules are approximately 80 nucleotides in length. Their secondary structure includes four short double-helical elements and three loops (D, anti-codon, and T loops). NCBI's taxonomy places the organism in Eukaryota, Fungi, Ascomycota, Pichiomycetes, Serinales, Debaryomycetaceae. The record is from Rfam.
GGCCGAGUGGUCUAGAGGUUAGGAUAAUCCGUUUACACCGGAUUGGUCGCGAGUUCGAUCCUCGCCUUGGUCA